Molecule: ribosomal RNA, 424 nt
Filed under: uncultured bacterium
Lineage: Bacteria
Description: bacterial SSU rRNA
Rfam family: Bacterial small subunit ribosomal RNA
Source: RNAcentral
UGGCGGCAUGCCUAACACAUGCAAGUCGAACGAGACCUUCGGGUCUAGUGGCGCACGGGUGCGUAACGCGUGGGAACCUGCCUUUAGGUUCGGAAUAACUCAGAGAAAUUUGAGCUAAUACCGGAUAAUGUCUUCGGACCAAAGAUUUAUCGCCUUUAGAUGGGCCCGCGUUGGAUUAGCUAGUUGGUGGGGUAAAGGCCUACCAAGGCGACGAUCCAUAGCUGGUCUGAGAGGAUGAUCAGCCACACUGGGACUGAGACACGGCCCAGACUCCUACGGGAGGCAGCAGUGGGGAAUAUUGGACAAUGGGCGAAAGCCUGAUCCAGCAAUGCCGCGUGAGUGAUGAAGGCCUUAGGGUUGUAAAGCUCUUUUACCCGAGAUGAUAAUGACAGUAUCGGGAGAAUAAGCUCCGGCUAACUCCGUG